Corvus hawaiiensis (hawaiian crow) is the source of this 2342-nucleotide long non-coding RNA. RefSeq lists it as uncharacterized. NCBI's taxonomy places the organism in Eukaryota, Metazoa, Chordata, Aves, Passeriformes, Corvidae. The transcript is spliced from 3 exons. The record is from RefSeq and is a predicted model, not a curated record.
CCUUUCUGUUGCACUUAAGUCCAGAUUCGCUCUGACCAUUCCCGCUCACAAGCAGAGAGCGACACAGCACCACAGUGCCCAAAGGCCAUAGAAAUUGCCACAGAGGUGGGGGCAGAGAUCGUCUUCAAGGUUGUUGUCACCUGGAAUUUUAUGUCCUUCAUUUUCUUUCAAUCUGUAUGCCUGUCACAUCGGCUUAACUACAAGAGAAGACCCUGCUUGCCUUAAAGCCUGACUGGUUUCUUCCAGCCUUACUAGCUGAUGUAAAGAAAGAAAAUGCUUCUUCUUACAGUUCUGGACAGUACUCUGCAAGUCGUCUUGGAGAUUGGAAAGACUGUGAAGCCUUCUGGGAAGAAUCUUUCCUCAGCUUUUAUUUGCUCACUCCAAACAGAUGUAAUUAAUUCUGCACAAACACAGAUAUGCACAACUCUUACAAGUGACUAGUUUUCAGAAUCAAUAGCAAAAAUACAACCUAUUGUGAUUUGUGUUUUUAAAGCUGCAUAGCAAAGGCUGAUCAGCAGGGCAUUCACAGUCUAGAGGCAAACCCCUUACACAGGCAAAUUAUGGACUGGAUGGACAGAAACAGGUUGCUACCUCUUCGUUUCUGCAGGAUUUUCUCUACUGCCAGGUCCAGUUCCAUAAAAUACAACCUUCAAAUGGAGGGGGGACUAAUCCUAUUCCAAGUUACAUGUGCCUAAUUUCAAAGCUUUAUGCCUGAGUGCUAUCCACAUUCAGAUGGACACUGCGUGUUGCUCACUCUUCAUAUUCAUACACUUUUAUUGCUUUGAUUCAGUUUACAAAACAGUUUAUAAAAAGUUAGCUUGAGAUGCUGUAUUCCUGUUUCCUCCAGUAAGGUGUAGUCAGUCAGUAAAUAUAAGCAGUAUAGUUUCUUUUUAUCUUUCCUCUUCUAAGAAACGCUGGUUUAUAAUGGGUUAAAAAUCUGCUGCUAAGCACUGGCCAUUUUAAGGUGUAUUCUUCUCCCCUGCUGAUUUGCCCUCUGACCUUCUGGGGGCCAGAGUGGCUGCAGACUUCAUUUUUACUCUAUUUCCUGGUCUCUCUCCUGGCUGUGCUCUCAAUGCUUCCACAGCAGAUUAAUGACAGCUAAUAAUAUCUGAUAUAUCUGGACAUUGCCACAUAAUGAGUUGCAGUCCCACUGGGUGCCCGAAGUGUCACUACUAACAAAUUCACCAGAGCAGCACAUAAUUAGCAUGUAAAGGGAGUGAUCAUGCAGUAAAUCUGGAGGGGAAGAUGGAUAGCCCAUGAGGAAAAACUAUAAGGGAAAACUACUAUUCUUAACACUCAUUGGUAAAUGUAUGUUUCUUGCCAUGAAUAUUUUCUUGAUAACAAACUGUGGACAGGUUACCUUUACAGUAACAUUAUUCCUUCCACGGCUGAUAGGCAGAAUUUCAUUAUGCCACUGCUAAUGUUACAAUAUUUCUGCAAAAUGUCACCAUAUGUAAAUUAGAAGAGGUUAGGGUUUCCGUCUUAGUUUUCUUUCAAGAUGCACUGUCCCUUUCUGCUAUGGCCUAAUUCCCCUUUCUACUAGUUUACAGACAUGUUAACAUUGAUCCAACCUUGCAAAAUAAAAUUGGCACUGGACUAUCUUCCUUCUCCAAUAGCUAAAUAAGAAGGAUGAAACUCCACACAUGAUGGAACAAAGAUAGGAGAAUAGAAAUGAGCUUACUUGAUGAGGUUUUAUUCAAAGUAUAACCUCUCCUGAUACAUCAGAAUAUACCCAAUAAAAUAAAAUGGAUCCAUGGACAAUGUGAGUUACCUGACCUCAUCCAAUCACAGGUCUCUAUCUUGUGACCAUCUGGCUGACCAUCACACCCCAAGUGCUGCCUGUAGUUUGGGUGUGGGCAAAGAGGCUUUCCCAAGAGGAGGAGGUCGAUAAGGAGCAGAUGAAUUGUCCUGAUGGGCUGCAUUCAGCCUGAAGAGACCUAAAUGGGACAGCUCUGCUCUAGUUUCAGCCAUUUGUCCUCAUUAGAAACCAUUGCUCAGCAGUGUUAAAGAGUUCAUUUCAGUUUGAAGUUGUGUCAUUUACAGGCCUUUUGCUUCUUUGACAUCUGUGUGGGAACACUUGCAUUUAAAUCUCCAGCUCUGAGGUUUAUUUGAGUAAUUGACCAAAAUGUGAUUAAUUCCAAGGGCAAGGGUUCAGGUUUUUUAAUUAUUAUUUUGCUGAACAGAGAGGCCUUUGGCCCUGACGGCUUCAGACUUUAAACUGUUCUUGUUCACGAGGCCCUUAUGUCAUUUGAGGGAAAAAAAAGUUAACAAGGAAGCCUCACUUAAAAAAGCAAACUGAAAUCCCAAAACACAAACAAAAGAUGCUUCCUAUAACAGAGAUA